This 207-nucleotide ribosomal RNA is filed under the name uncultured bacterium. RNAcentral's name for it is "partial 16S ribosomal RNA". It matches the Rfam family "Bacterial small subunit ribosomal RNA", at positions 568 to 774 of the family's 1533-position model. The record is from RNAcentral.
CGCGCAGGCGGUCUUGUAAGUCAGAUGUGAAAGCCCGGGGCUCAACCCCGGAAGUGCAUUUGAAACUAUAAGGCUUGAGUAUGGGAGAGGGAAGUGGAAUUCCUGGUGUAGAGGUGAAAUUCGUAGAUAUCAGGAGGAACACCGGUGGCGAAGGCGGCUUCCUGGACCAAUACUGACGCUGAGGCGCGAAGGCGUGGGGAGCAAACA